This 253-nucleotide ribosomal RNA is filed under the name uncultured bacterium. Its description in RNAcentral is "partial 16S ribosomal RNA". It matches the Rfam family "Bacterial small subunit ribosomal RNA", at positions 524 to 776 of the family's 1533-position model. The record is from RNAcentral.
UACGAAGGGGGCUAGCGUUGUUCGGAAUUACUGGGCGUAAAGGGCGCGUAGGCGGCACGACAAGUCGGGAGUGAAAGCCCGGGGCUCAACCCCGGAAUGUCUCUCGAAACUGUCGAGCUAGAGUGCGGAAGAGGCAACUGGAAUUCCCAGUGUAGCGGUGAAAUGCGUAGAUAUUGGGAAGAACACCUGAGGCGAAGGCGGGUUGCUGGGCCGACACUGACGCUGAGGCGCGAAAGCCAGGGGAGCGAACGGG